RNAcentral lists this ribosomal RNA (263 nucleotides) under uncultured bacterium. RNAcentral's name for it is "partial 16S ribosomal RNA". It matches the Rfam family "Bacterial small subunit ribosomal RNA", at positions 793 to 1055 of the family's 1533-position model. The record is from RNAcentral.
GUCCACGCCAUAAAACGGUGGGUGCUAGGUGUAGGCGGUAUUCCACGCCGUCUGUGCCGCAGCUAACGCAUUAAGCACCCCGCCUGUGGAGUACGGCCGCAAGGCUAAAACUCAAAGGAAUUGACGGGGGCCCGCACAAGCAGCGGAGCAUGUGGCUUAAUUCGACGCAACGCGAAGAACCUUACCAAGGCUUGACAUACACCGAAAACUCGUAGAGAUACGGGGUCCGCAAGGGCGGUGUACAGGUGGUGCAUGGUUGUCGU